Molecule: long non-coding RNA, 1677 nt
Organism: Xiphophorus couchianus (Monterrey platyfish)
Lineage: Eukaryota; Metazoa; Chordata; Actinopteri; Cyprinodontiformes; Poeciliidae
Exons: 5
Source: RefSeq, a predicted model, not a curated record
CGGAGCGCUGCUGAGGCUGAGGGGUGAGAGGGAAGGAAGAAAGAUGGAGAUAGUGAAGCAAAGAGUGAGAGAAGCAGAACGAAGAAAGUGGGAGGACAGAGAAAUCAGAUGAGCAGGGAUGUAGGGACAAGAAGACAUGGAAUGGGUAGACAAAAGAUGUAGAGAAAGGAGGAGAGAGAAAGAGAGAGAGAGAGAGGGGAGGAAAAGAAGAAGGGAGGUUUGAGUGAUGGCAGUUGAAAGCUUUGGGAGGAGCGGAGCACUGAGCAGCAUCAGCCAGCGCUGUGAGAGCAUGUUGAGCCUGCAGGGACAGCCGGGGGGUCAGCUGUCAGCCGUAAGGACUGAAGUCAGCUGAGCGAGCGGAGAAACGGCGGGGCGUUGGAAGAAGCUUAAAAGAUGGACGCCUUCAACAGAGAUGUGAAGAGUGUGUAACUUUCUAACGACACAGAGAGGAGGAGACGGAGACAAUCUGAAGGCCACAUGAAGUUUGAAGAUCUGUAAUGACUGACUCUGCAGAACCUGGCGACCUCUUCACACUAUGUGCUUCAGGAUCCGCUGACCCCGCUCCAUCAGUUUUCAUGACCUACCACAUCAUGGCUGAGUUGCUGUCGUUCCCAAACACUUCCAUUUUCUGAUAAUACAGCUGACAGUUGACUGGAAUAUUUAGGAGCUAGGAAAUUUCACAACUAAUUUGUUGCACAGGAGCCAUCCUACCACAGUUCUGUGGGCUGUGGGAAGGUGCGAAGUAUCCUGGGGGCAUGUUUAUUAUUAAUGAUUUGAAAUAAAUAAAAUUAUUAUUCUUGCCAUAAGAGUAAAAUAAACACACAUUACCACCACUCCUAUGAAUAACUAAUAAAACCAAACUCUAUGUUUGUCAGUACCAUUCAUUAAACCAGCAGUUUACUUCUUUACCUUGAACAUCAUUAAUUGUGGUACCAUUUAAAAUCAUGUUUUCCUGCUGAGUGUACAAUCAGAGGAAUCAUGCCAGAUUAUGAUUGGUAGAAACCAGAUCUUGGGCCUCCCAGGGGCCCGGGGUUACAGUUUUACUAAAUCUCCUCUUGCUGCAAACCUAGUUUUUCUGACAUGAUUGGAGUGUUCCCACUCAGCGGGGCUGCUUCAAGGUGGAUUAGGGCUUGCUGCUGUGAGACCAAAGUUAUUCUCAGCUUCAUCAUAACCCUGUCCUCAAUUCCAAAGCACUUUAUAAAUAAAUGAGCAAAUUGAGCGCUGCUACAUUUAUGGACUGGGCCUUUUGUUUCACAGAGCAACUCUGCCAGAUUUUAUCUUUAAUUGGGAAUUUUGUAAAAGAUGAACUGCUGCAGUGCUGAGGUCAAGAUUCUAAAUUACAUAUUUCCAACAUUUAAUUGCUGAUUAAAUUGAUUUGCCUUUAUUGUCUUUUCUUUAGGUUAAAUCGAGGUGUGUGUGUGUGACCUGUUUCACAUCAUCAGCCUGUAAAAUAUGAAAGCAGAACUCCUGUGUGCAAACUGCCCCCCAGUGGAGAGACUGUGAUUGACGUGGAAACUGGUCCCAGUAUUUGUUGAGGCUCCAACCUGGGUACUGCUGCAGCUAUGUGUAUGGACAAGGGGUCGGUGUGUUUUCUCUCACCCUGCUGAGGGCUUGGUAAGACUGAACGGCGUGGAUCCAGGCCAGAACCGGAGCCUUGUUGUCUGAUGUUCCUCUUCC